GAUGAACGCUGGCGGCGUGCCUAAUACAUGCAAGUCGAACGAACGGACGAUAAUCUUGCUUCUCGGAUGUUAGCGGCGGACGGGUGAGUAACACGUGUAUAACCUACCUAUAAUACUGGUAUAACUUCGGGAAACCGGAGCUAAUACCGUAUAAGAUUUUGAACCGCAGGGUUCAAAAGUGAAAUACGGUCUUGCUGGCACGUAUAGAUGGAUCCGCGCUGCAUUAGCUAGUUGUUAAGGUAACGGCUUACCAAGGCAACGAUGCAUAGCCGAACGGAGAGGGUGAUAGCCGGCCUGGGAACGGAGACACGGUCAAGAGUACUGCGGUAGGCCCCAGAAGGGUACGUGACGCAGUGGGGGAAAGCCUGACGGAGCAACGGCGCGUGAGUGAUGAAGGUCUCGGGAUCGUAAAAACCUGCUACUAGGGAUGAACCUAUGUGUAAGUAACUGUGGACAUAUUGACGGUACUUAAUAAGAAAGCACCGGCUAACUACGUG
RNAcentral lists this ribosomal RNA (497 nucleotides) under uncultured bacterium. Its description in RNAcentral is "partial 16S ribosomal RNA". It matches the Rfam family "Bacterial small subunit ribosomal RNA", at positions 28 to 507 of the family's 1533-position model. The record is from RNAcentral.